CGCUGGCGGCGUGAUAACACAUGCAAGUCUACGAUGAUCCCAGCUUGCUGGGGGAUUAGUGGCGAACGGGUGAGUAACACGUGAGUAACCUGCCCUUAACUCUGGGAUAAGCCUGGGAAACUGGGUCUAAUACCGGAUAUGACUCCUCAUCGCAUGGUGGGGGGUGGAAAGCUUUAUUGUGGUUUUGGAUGGACUCGCGGCCUAUCAGCUUGUUGGUGAGGUAAUGGCUCACCAAGGCGACGACGGGUAGCCGGCCUGAGAGGGUGACCGGCCACACUGGGACUGAGACACGGCCCAGACUCCUACGGGAGGCAGCAGUGGGGAAUAUUGCACAAUGGGCGCAAGCCUGAUGCAGCGACGCCGCGUGAGGGAUGACGGCCUUCGGGUUGUAAACCUCUUUCAGUAGGGAAGAAGCGAAAGUGACGGUACCUGCAGAAGAAGCGCCGGCUAACUACGUGCCAGCAGCCGCGGUAAUACGUAGGGCGCAAGCGUUAUCCGGAAUUAUUGGGCGUAAAGAGCUCGUAGGCGGUUUGUCGCGUCUGCCGUGAAAGUCCGGGGCUCAACUCCGGAUCUGCGGUGGGUACGGGCAGACUAGAGUGAUGUAGGGGAGACUGGAAUUCCUGGUGUAGCGGUGAAAUGCGCAGAUAUCAGGAGGAACACCGAUGGCGAAGGCAGGUCUCUGGGCAUUAACUGACGCUGAGGAGCGAAAGCAUGGGGAGCGAACAGGAUUAGAUACCCUGGUAGUCCAUGCCGUAAACGUUGGGCACUAGGUGUGGGGGACAUUCCACGUUUUCCGCGCCGUAGCUAACGCAGUAAGUGCCCCGCCUGGGGAGUACGGCCGCAAGGCUANNACUCAAAGGAAUUGACGGGGGCCCGCACAAGCGGCGGAGCAUGCGGAUUAAUUCGAUGCAACGCGAAGAACCUUACCAAGGCUUGACAUGAACCGGAAACACCUGGAAACAGGUGCCCCGCUUGCGGUCGGUUUACAGGUGGUGCAUGGUUGUCGUCAGCUCGUGUCGUGAGAUGUUGGGUUAAGUCCCGCAACGAGCGCAACCCUCGUUCUAUGUUGCCAGCGCGUGAUGGCGGGGACUCAUAGGAGACUGCCGGGGUCAACUCGGAGGAAGGUGGGGACGACGUCAAAUCAUCAUGCCCCUUAUGUCUUGGGCUUCACGCAUGCUACAAUGGCCGGUACAAAGGGUUGCGAUACUGUGAGGUGGAGCUAAUCCCAAAAAGCCGGUCUCAGUUCGGAUUGGGGUCUGCAACUAGACCCCAUGAAGUCGGAGUCGCUAGUAAUCGCAGAUCAGCAACG
RNAcentral lists this ribosomal RNA (1309 nucleotides) under actinobacterium R25. RNAcentral describes it as "bacterial SSU rRNA". It matches the Rfam family "Bacterial small subunit ribosomal RNA", at positions 34 to 1356 of the family's 1533-position model. The record is from RNAcentral. Lineage: Bacteria; Bacillati; Actinomycetota; Actinomycetes.